This 548-nucleotide ribosomal RNA is filed under the name Salmonella enterica subsp. enterica serovar Infantis. Its description in RNAcentral is "bacterial SSU rRNA". It matches the Rfam family "Bacterial small subunit ribosomal RNA", at positions 997 to 1533 of the family's 1533-position model. The record is from RNAcentral. RNAcentral also lists the same sequence under 1 other name. Lineage: Bacteria; Pseudomonadati; Pseudomonadota; Gammaproteobacteria; Enterobacterales; Enterobacteriaceae.
UUUCCAGAGAUGGAUUGGUGCCUUCGGGAACUGUGAGACAGGUGCUGCAUGGCUGUCGUCAGCUCGUGUUGUGAAAUGUUGGGUUAAGUCCCGCAACGAGCGCAACCCUUAUCCUUUGUUGCCAGCGGUUAGGCCGGGAACUCAAAGGAGACUGCCAGUGAUAAACUGGAGGAAGGUGGGGAUGACGUCAAGUCAUCAUGGCCCUUACGACCAGGGCUACACACGUGCUACAAUGGCGCAUACAAAGAGAAGCGACCUCGCGAGAGCAAGCGAACCUCAUAAAGUGCGUCGUAGUCCGGAUUGGAGUCUGCAACUCGACUCCAUGAAGUCGGAAUCGCUAGUAAUCGUGGAUCAGAAUGCCACGGUGAAUACGUUCCCGGGCCUUGUACACACCGCCCGUCACACCAUGGGAGUGGGUUGCAAAAGAAGUAGGUAGCUUAACCUUCGGGAGGGCGCUUACCACUUUGUGAUUCAUGACUGGGGUGAAGUCGUAACAAGGUAACCGUAGGGGAACCUGCGGUUGGAUCACCUCCUUACCUGAAAGAAGC